UGCCUUGCGAGAUCGGUUCAAAGAAAAUCGGGUUCAGAUUGUGUGUUUAGGGUAUCUGUUUUGGGCCAUUUUUUCCUCCCGAACCCUUAAAGUGACGGUUAUUUUUUGGUUUUUGCCUCUUUUAGGUAUGUGCUAGAGAUGUUCUUAGAGCUGGAACUUUCAUGUGAGAGAGAGAAGGGGAAUAAUUUCUUGAAGUUCCUUUUCCAUACGAUUUUAUUUUAUUUUAUUUGGUUUUUGGAGAGAGGAACUUUUGGGAAUUUAUUAUUCCUUUGAUUUGGAGGAUCUUCUGCACCCGUUGUGUGCAUUUGCAUUUCCAAGGAUGGAUUUGGACUAGAUGGAUAGAACCGUGGGCAACACCAUAAA
Molecule: long non-coding RNA, 363 nt
Filed under: Brachypodium distachyon (stiff brome)
Lineage: Eukaryota; Viridiplantae; Streptophyta; Magnoliopsida; Poales; Poaceae
Description: long non-coding RNA (BDIS_LNC003461)
Source: RNAcentral